GCCAAUGUGGUGCAGUGGUUUGAGCACUGGACUAUGAUUCUAGAGACCAGGGUUCGAAUCCUGGCUCAGCCA
Molecule: transfer RNA, 72 nt
Filed under: Phrynosoma platyrhinos (Desert horned lizard)
Lineage: Eukaryota; Metazoa; Chordata; Lepidosauria; Squamata; Phrynosomatidae
Description: tRNA-OTHER
Source: RNAcentral